AAAUUCUUCGACAUAACCUUGGAAAAAUAGCUUCAUCUUUCAUUUAUGUGCGUGCCAGUUGAACGGCCGGAUUCUCAUUUUGCAAUUAUAAACAUUAUAAAGCUUUAUUGUUUGCUGGAGGUGAUUGACGUCAACCGAAUUUAAGUGAAUUUUUCAGUAUGGGAACAGUAUUGUUUAAACUUUCGUAUAAACAUCGAUUAUUCUGGUACACUCAACCAACGAAGCUUCUUCGUCAUUCCGAUCGUCUGCAAUUUUUGCAGAAAUUAUUCGAAGUUCAGUUAAAAAUAGAAAUUGAAUCGUUUGAUGGAAUUUUGUAAAUUUUGUCACGUUUUAAAAAGUGUACACCGAUCUUUUAUUCUCCCUGUAUACGUGUGAAAUGUGUUCGCUUAAUAGAGAAGACGUAUAUCGGAGAUAAACAAAUUGGCCGCAGCCAUGAUCGCCAUGGGUUUUUUGAAAUUCAACUACCGUUUCAAGGUCGCCAACGCCACCAAUCUUCAUCUUUUUUAGUCCAAAACAUUGUUAAAUGUUUCUUGAACGCAAAUAAAUAAACCUUGUAAAUGUGAAAA
Long non-coding RNA from Megalopta genalis, 566 nucleotides. RefSeq lists it as uncharacterized. Lineage: Eukaryota; Metazoa; Arthropoda; Insecta; Hymenoptera; Halictidae. The record is from RefSeq and is a predicted model, not a curated record.